This 68-nucleotide transfer RNA is filed under the name Marmota monax (woodchuck). Its description in RNAcentral is "tRNA.Thr". The stretch from base 5 to 65 matches the Rfam family "tRNA", at positions 6 to 65 of the family's 71-position model. From Rfam's summary of the family: Transfer RNA (tRNA) molecules are approximately 80 nucleotides in length. Their secondary structure includes four short double-helical elements and three loops (D, anti-codon, and T loops). Lineage: Eukaryota; Metazoa; Chordata; Mammalia; Rodentia; Sciuridae. The record is from RNAcentral.
GGAUUGUGGCUUAGUGGCAAAGCACUUGCUUCGUGUGUAUGAGGCACUGGGUUCAAUCCUCAGCACCA